This 473-nucleotide ribosomal RNA is filed under the name uncultured bacterium. RNAcentral's name for it is "bacterial SSU rRNA". It matches the Rfam family "Bacterial small subunit ribosomal RNA", at positions 355 to 825 of the family's 1533-position model. The record is from RNAcentral.
UGGGGAAUAUUGCGCAAUGGGCGAAAGCCUGACGCAGCAACGCCGCGUGAGUGAUGAAGGCCUUCGGGUCGUAAAGCUCUGUCGGAGGGAACGAAUGCUCCUGAAGUUAACAGCCUCAGGAGGUGACGGUACCCUCAAAGGAAGCACCGGCUAACUCUGUGCCAGCAGCCGCGGUAAUACAGAGGGUGCAAGCGUUGUUCGGAAUCAUUGGGCGUAAAGGGCGCGUAGGCGGUCAACUAAGUCAGACGUGAAAUCCCUCGGCUUAACCGGGGAACUGCGUCUGAUACUGGAUGGCUUGAGGUUGGGAGAGGGAUGCGGAAUUCCAGGUGUAGCGGUGAAAUGCGUAGAUAUCUGGAGGAACACCGGUGGCGAAGGCGACAUCCUGGACCAAUUCUGACGCUGAGGAGCGAAAGCCAGGGGAGCAAACGGGAUUAGAUACCCAAGUAGUCCCUGAGCGGGCUGGCAAGGCGCAU